CCUACGGGUGACAGCAGUGGGGAAUAUUGGGCAAUGGGCGCAAGUCUGACCCAGCAAUGCCGCGUGAAGGAAGAAGGCUCUCGGGUUGUAAACCUCCUUUUUGAGGGACGAAGACAGUGAUGGUACCUUAGGUAUAAGCCACGGCUAACUACGUGCCAGCAGCCGCGGUAAUACGUAGGUGGCAAGCGUUAUCCGGAUUUAUUGGGUGUAAAGGGUGUGUAGGCGGGAAAGCAAGUCAGAUGUGAAAACUCAGGGCUCAACCCUGGACCUGCAUUUGAUACUGUUUUUCUUGAGUGCCGGAGAGGCAGGCGGAAUGUCGUGUGUAGCGGUGAAAUGCGUAGAUAUAC
This 347-nucleotide ribosomal RNA is filed under the name uncultured bacterium. Its description in RNAcentral is "partial 16S ribosomal RNA". It matches the Rfam family "Bacterial small subunit ribosomal RNA", at positions 338 to 699 of the family's 1533-position model. The record is from RNAcentral.